This 385-nucleotide long non-coding RNA is filed under the name Equus caballus (horse). RNAcentral describes it as "lncRNA (ENSECAG00000050011.1)". Lineage: Eukaryota; Metazoa; Chordata; Mammalia; Perissodactyla; Equidae. The record is from RNAcentral.
CUCCAUCUUCUUGGGUGACCUGGGGCCUGGAGGACACAUGCGAAAGAAUUUUGACAACUGUCCGGUGCUGUCCAAGUUGGAUGACAGAGGGGGCUCAUUCAGAAUCUAGCAAGCACGGUGCUGUUGCCUUCACGUACCCGGUGUCCUUCAAUCCUUCCAAUAACCCUAUGGGUCAUUUCUUGAGUGGACAUUGGCGGUGACAGUCAAGGACAGUCGCAAUGGGGAGCAUCCUCGUGCCUGAUGAAACGGAAGGAGGACCAGUGAGGUCACUGCAAGCUGCCGGCCACCCCCGAGUCAUUCUUGUUAAGCUCUGCAGUGCGUCGCCCCCAUCCCAGCAGAGCUGCUCCCUCGCUUACAUUCUGCGCAGGCUCUCACCGGAUGGACG